UAAAAUUUAAGUUAAGUAUUAAACUAUUAAUUUUCAAAAUUAAAAAUAAUUAUAUUAAUUUUAA
RNAcentral lists this transfer RNA (64 nucleotides) under Paratomella rubra. RNAcentral describes it as "tRNA-Trp". Lineage: Eukaryota; Metazoa; Xenacoelomorpha; Acoela; Paratomellidae. The record is from RNAcentral.